GUCUCAGCUCCACCACCACCCUCUCUAUACCUCCCUUUGGGCCUCAGCCCUGGGCUUGCCUCUAGUGUUUGUUUGUUUGUUUGUUUGUUUGUUUGUUUGUUUGUUUGUUUGUUUCUGGCAACCUCCUAUCUCUAAAACCAGAGGGAGUGUGUCUAGCGUGAACAAUCUCCCUGACAGAAGGGCUUCUGUGGAGGAGACCCUAAAGCCCCAGCAGACAAGUGGUCCUGCCCUGAUUUUCCUGCUUGGCAGUCAUAACUGCUAUUGUCAUUCUAGCAACAUCUCUCCUCUGGCACUGCCUGGCCCCUGGGGGAAGGCUAGGAGGGCCCUAAGAGCAGGGACACCAAGAAUAUCCAUCCACGGGGGGGUGAGGAGUUCUUCCAAUACAA
RNAcentral lists this long non-coding RNA (386 nucleotides) under Rattus norvegicus (Norway rat). RNAcentral describes it as "long non-coding RNA NONRATT029666". The record is from RNAcentral. Lineage: Eukaryota; Metazoa; Chordata; Mammalia; Rodentia; Muridae.